UUAACUCGAAUUUGUAUGGAGUUGGAACAUCUUCCCUUCGUUUGCCGCUAGGGCCUUUUUCCAACUCCAUACAAAUCCGAGUUA
Bombyx mori (domestic silkworm) is the source of this 84-nucleotide non-coding RNA. The record is from Rfam. NCBI's taxonomy places the organism in Eukaryota, Metazoa, Arthropoda, Insecta, Lepidoptera, Bombycidae.